GCCAGACUCCUACGGGAGGCAGCAGUGGGGAAUAUUGGACAAUGGGGGGAACCCUGAUCCAGCGACGCCGCGUGAGUGAAGAAGUAUUUCGGUAUGUAAAGCUCUAUCAGCAGGGAAGAAAGAAAUGACGGUACCUGACUAAGAAGCCCCGGCUAACUACGUGCCAGCAGCCGCGGUAAUACGUAGGGGGCAAGCGUUAUCCGGAUUUACUGGGUGUAAAGGGAGCGUAGACGGCGAUGCAAGUCUGAAGUGAAAGACGGGGGCCCAACCCCCGGACUGCUUUGGAAACUAUAUGGCUGGAGUGCAGGAGAGGUAAGUGGAAUUCCUAGUGUAGCGGUGAAAUGCGUAGAUAUUAGGAGGAACACCAGUGGCGAAGGCGGCUUACUGGACUGUAACUGACGUUGAGGCUCGAAAGCGUGGGGAGCAAACAGGAUUAGAUACCCGAGUA
Molecule: ribosomal RNA, 448 nt
Filed under: uncultured bacterium
Lineage: Bacteria
Description: bacterial SSU rRNA
Rfam family: Bacterial small subunit ribosomal RNA
Source: RNAcentral